UACGUAGGGUCCGAGCGUUAAUCGGAAUUACUGGGCGUAAAGCGUGCGCAGGCGGUUUUGUAAGCCAGAUGUGAAAGCCCCGGGCUCAACCUGGGAACUGCAUUUGGGACUGCAAGGCUGGAGUACGGCAGAGGGAGGUGGAAUUCCACGUGUAGCAGUGAAAUGCGUAGAGAUGUGGAGGAACACCGAUGGCGAAGGCAGCCCCCUGGGUUAACACUGACGCUCAGGCACGAAAGCGUGGGGAGCAAACAGG
This 253-nucleotide ribosomal RNA is filed under the name uncultured bacterium. RNAcentral describes it as "partial 16S ribosomal RNA". It matches the Rfam family "Bacterial small subunit ribosomal RNA", at positions 524 to 776 of the family's 1533-position model. The record is from RNAcentral.